This 253-nucleotide ribosomal RNA is filed under the name uncultured bacterium. RNAcentral's name for it is "partial 16S ribosomal RNA". It matches the Rfam family "Bacterial small subunit ribosomal RNA", at positions 524 to 776 of the family's 1533-position model. The record is from RNAcentral.
UACAGAGGUCUCAAGCGUUGUUCGGAUUUAUUGGGCGUAAAGGGUGCGUAGGUGGCUCGCUACGUCGGGUGUGAAAUUUCGGAGCUUAACUCCGAAACUGCAUUCGAUACUGGCGUGCUUGAGGACUGGAGAGGAGACCGGAAUUCAUGGUGUAGCAGUGAAAUGCGUAGAGAUCAUGAGGAAGACCAGUGGCGAAGGCGGGUCUCUGGACAGUACCUGACACUGAGACACGAAGGCCAGGGGAGCAAACGGG